GGAGGAAAGCAGGGGAUCGCAAGACCUUGCGCUUUUGGAGCGGCCGAUGCCUGAUUAGCUUGUUGGUGAGGUAAAAGCUCACCAAGGCUCCGAUCAGUAGCUGGUCUGAGAGGACGACCAGCCACACUGGGACUGAGACACGGCCCAGACUCCUACGGGAGGCAGCAGUGGGGAAUUUUGGACAAUGGGGGCAACCCUGAUCCAGCCAUGCCGCGUGAGUGAAGAAGGCCUUCGGGUUGUAAAGCUCUUUCAGCCGGAACGAAACGGUCACGGUCAAUACCCGUGACUACUGACGGUACCGGAAGAAGAAGCACCGGCUAACUACGUGCCAGCAGCCGCGGUAAUACGUAGGGUGCGAGCGUUAAUCGGAAUUACUGGGCGUAAAGCGUGCGCAGGCGGCUUUGUAAGUCAGAUGUGAAAUCCCCGGGCUUAACCUGGGAACUGCGUUUGAAACUACAAAGCUAG
RNAcentral lists this ribosomal RNA (465 nucleotides) under uncultured bacterium. RNAcentral describes it as "bacterial SSU rRNA". It matches the Rfam family "Bacterial small subunit ribosomal RNA", at positions 198 to 644 of the family's 1533-position model. The record is from RNAcentral.